GACGAACGCUGGCGGCGUGCUUAACACAUGCAAGUCGAGCGGUAAGGCCCUUUCGGGGGUACACGAGCGGCGAACGGGUGAGUAACACGUGGGUGACCUGCCCUCAGCUCUGGGAUAAGCCUGGGAAACCGGGUCUAAUACUGGAUAUGACUCCAUGACGCAUGUUGUGGGGUGGAAAGCCUUGUGCGGCUGAGGAUGGGCCCGCGGCCUAUCAGCUUGUUGGUGGGGUGAUGGCCUACCAAGGCGACGACGGGUAGCCGGCCUGAGAGGGCGACCGGCCACACUGGGACUGAGACACGGCCCAGACUCCUACGGGAGGCAGCGGUGGGGAAUUUUGGACAAUGGGCGCAAGCCUGAUCCAGCCAUGCCGCGUGCGGGAA
This 380-nucleotide ribosomal RNA is filed under the name uncultured bacterium. RNAcentral's name for it is "bacterial SSU rRNA". It matches the Rfam family "Bacterial small subunit ribosomal RNA", at positions 28 to 409 of the family's 1533-position model. The record is from RNAcentral.